GGGCGUAAGGGCGCGUAGGCGGUUUGGCAAGUUUGGUGUGAAAUCUUCGGGCUCAACUCGAAGUCUGCAUCGAAAACUGCCGGGCUUGAGUAUGGGAGAGGUGAGUGGAAUUUCCGGUGUAGCGGUGAAAUGCGUAGAUAUCGGAAGGAACACCUGUGGCGAAAGCGGCUCACUGGACCAUUACUGACGCUGAGGCGCGAAAGCUAGGGGAGCAAACAGGAUUAGAUACCCUGGUAGUCCUAGCCCUAAACGAUGAUUGCUUGAUGUGGCAGGUACCCAAUCCUGCCGUGUCGAAGCUAACGCGAUAAGCAAUCCGCCUGGGGAGUACGGUCGCGAGGCUGAAACUCAAAGGAAUUGACGGGGGCCCGCACAAGCGGUGGAGCAUGUGGUUUAAUUCGACGCAACGCGAAGAACCUUACCUGGGCUCGAAAUGUACAGGAAUCACUUAGAAAUAGGUGCGCCUAGCAAUAGGCCUGUAUAUAGGUGCUGCAUGGCUGUCGUCAGCUCGUGUCGUGAGAUGUUGGGUUAAGUCCCGCAACGAGCGCAACCCUUAUCUCUAGUUGCUACCAUUUAGUUGAGCACUCUAGCGAAACCGCCUCGGAUAACGGGGAGGAAGGUGGGGGAUGACGUCAAGUCCUCAUGGCCUUUAUGUCCAGGGCUACACACGUGCUACAAUGGCCGGUACAAACCGCUGCGAACCCGCGAGGGGGAGCCAAUCGGAAAAGCCGGCCUCAGUUCGGAUUGGAGUCUGCAACUCGACUCCAUGAAGCUGGAAUCGCUAGUAAUCGCAGAUCAGAAUGCUGCGGUGAAUACGUUCCCGGGCUUGCACUCACGCCCGUC
RNAcentral lists this ribosomal RNA (840 nucleotides) under uncultured bacterium. RNAcentral describes it as "bacterial SSU rRNA". It matches the Rfam family "Bacterial small subunit ribosomal RNA", at positions 556 to 1398 of the family's 1533-position model. The record is from RNAcentral.